GCUCAAGGGAUCCUUCCUCGUUGGCCA
This 27-nucleotide non-coding RNA is filed under the name Homo sapiens (human). Lineage: Eukaryota; Metazoa; Chordata; Mammalia; Primates; Hominidae. The record is from RNAcentral.